AACGCGAAGAACCUUACCCAGGCUUGAACUGCAGAGGACACUCUACGAAAGUAGACUUCCGCAAGGACCUCUGUAGAGGUGCUGCAUGGCUGUCGUCAGCUCGUGUCGUGAGAUGUUGGGUUAAGUCCCGCAACGAGCGCAACCCUUGUCUUCUGUUGCCAUCGGGUCAAGCCGGGCACUCUGAAGAGACUGCCGGUGACAAACCGGAGGAAGGUGGGGAUGACGUCAAGUCAGCAUGGCCUUUAUGUCUGGGGCCACACACGUGCUACAAUGGCCGGUACAAACCGUCGCGAGCCCGCAAGGGGGAGCUAAUCGGAGAAAGCCGGUCUCAGUUCGGAUUGUAGGCUGCAACUCGCCUGCAUGAAGUUGGAAUCGCUAGUAAUCGCGGAUCAGCACGCCGCGGUGAAUACGUUCCCGGGCCUUGUACACACCG
Molecule: ribosomal RNA, 433 nt
Filed under: uncultured bacterium
Lineage: Bacteria
Description: bacterial SSU rRNA
Rfam family: Bacterial small subunit ribosomal RNA
Source: RNAcentral